GCGGCAAUAACAGGUCUGUGAUGCCCUCAGAUGUUCCGGGCUGCACACGUGCUACAUUUAGUAGCGCAGUGUGCACAUUAAUAGAGUGAUAGGUUCCGUGGUUUGUACAUUUUAAGGGCUCGUCCUAGUAACCAAAGCUCCACGGGACAUAUCAACCUUCCCCUUACAGGGCGGGUAACCUCUUCGAAGUGCUGGCAUGAUUUCCCUAGUUUUGGCAUUUGAAUCCUUGUCGCAGCAGCCCUGAGACGUAGUGAACGCUGCAAAGUGAUUCCAGUCUUAGGUUUGCGACACAUGCAAUUCCUGGUUGACUCAUCGUGGGGACUGAUUCUUGUAAUUAUUUUUCACGGUUCAACCAGGAAUGCCUUGUACCGGCGGCUCAU
Molecule: ribosomal RNA, 380 nt
Filed under: Globigerinoides elongatus
Lineage: Eukaryota; Foraminifera; Rotaliida; Globigerinidae
Description: partial small subunit ribosomal RNA
Rfam family: Eukaryotic small subunit ribosomal RNA
Source: RNAcentral